RNAcentral lists this ribosomal RNA (497 nucleotides) under uncultured bacterium. RNAcentral describes it as "partial 16S ribosomal RNA". It matches the Rfam family "Bacterial small subunit ribosomal RNA", at positions 28 to 507 of the family's 1533-position model. The record is from RNAcentral.
GAUGAACGCUGGCGGCGUGCCUAAUACAUGCAAGUCGAGCGAACAGACGAGGAGCUUGCUCCUCUGACGUUAGCGGCGGACGGGUGAGUAACACGUGGAUAACCUACCUAUAAGACUGGGAUAACUUCGGGAAACCGGAGCUAAUACCGGAUAAUAUAUUGAACCGCAUGGUUCAAUAGUGAAAGACGGUUUUGCUGUCACUUAUAGAUGGAUCCGCGCCGCAUUAGCUAGUUGGUAAGGUAACGGCUUACCAAGGCGACGAUGCGUAGCCGACCUGAGAGGGUGAUCGGCCACACUGGAACUGAGACACGGUCCAGACUCCUACGGGAGGCAGCAGUAGGGAAUCUUCCGCAAAGGGCGAAAGCCUGACGGAGCAACGCCGCGUGAGUGAUGAAGGCCUUCGGAUCGUAAAACUCUGUUAUUAGGGAAGAACAAAUGUGUAAGUAACUAUGCACGUCUUGACGGUACCUAAUCAGAAAGCCACGGCUAACUACGUG